AGAGUUUGAUCAUGGCUCAGAUUGAACGCUGGCGGCAUGCCUUACACAUGCAAGUCGAACGGCAGCACGGGGGCAACCCUGGUGGCGAGUGGCGAACGGGUGAGUAAUACAUCGGAACGUGUCCUGUAGUGGGGGAUAGCCCGGCGAAAGCCGGAUUAAUACCGCAUACGCUCUACGGAGGAAAGGGGGGGAUCUUAGGACCUCCCGCUACAGGGGCGGCCGAUGGCAGAUUAGCUAGUUGGUGGGGUAAAGGCCUACCAAGGCGACGAUCUGUAGCUGGUCUGAGAGGACGACCAGCCACACUGGGACUGAGACACGGCCCAGACUCCUACGGGAGGCAGCAGUGGGGAAUUUUGGACAAUGGGGGCAACCCUGAUCCAGCAAUGCCGCGUGUGUGAAGAAGGCCUUCGGGUUGUAAAGCACUUUUGUCCGAAAAGAAAACGCCGUAUUAAUACCCGGACGAAUGACGUACCG
RNAcentral lists this ribosomal RNA (474 nucleotides) under uncultured organism. RNAcentral's name for it is "bacterial SSU rRNA". It matches the Rfam family "Bacterial small subunit ribosomal RNA", at positions 8 to 480 of the family's 1533-position model. The record is from RNAcentral.